UCCUCGGUAGUAUAUCGGCUAGUACACCCGCCUGUCAUACGUAGAGAUUGCCUGCUCAUCGCGGGAGAGCGGGGUUCGACUCCCCGCCGAGGAG
This 94-nucleotide transfer RNA is filed under the name Schizophyllum commune. RNAcentral describes it as "tRNA-Asp". Lineage: Eukaryota; Fungi; Basidiomycota; Agaricomycetes; Agaricales; Schizophyllaceae. The record is from RNAcentral. RNAcentral also lists the same sequence under 1 other name.